ACUCCUACGGGAGGCAGCAGUGGGGAAUAUUGGACAAUGGGGGGAACCCUGAUCCAGCCAUGCCGCGUGUGUGAAGAAGGCCUUUUGGUUGUAAAGCACUUUAAGCGAGGAGGAGGCUCCUAUAGAUAAUACCUAUAGUGAGUGGACGUUACUCGCAGAAUAAGCACCGGCUAACUCUGUGCCAGCAGCCGCGGUAAUACAGAGGGUGCGAGCGUUAAUCGGAUUUACUGGGCGUAAAGCGUACGUAGGCGGCUUUUUAAGUCGGAUGUGAAAUCCCUGAGCUUAACUUAGGAAUUGCAUUCGAUACUGGGAAGCUAGAGUAUGGGAGAGGAUGGUAGAAUUCCAGGUGUAGCGGUGAAAUGCGUAGAGAUCUGGAGGAAUACCGAUGGCGAAGGCAGCCAUCUGGCCUAAUACUGACGCUGAGGUACGAAAGCAUGGGGAGCAAACAGGAUUAGAUACCCUGGUAGUC
Molecule: ribosomal RNA, 469 nt
Filed under: uncultured bacterium
Lineage: Bacteria
Description: bacterial SSU rRNA
Rfam family: Bacterial small subunit ribosomal RNA
Source: RNAcentral